AGAGUUUGAUCCUGGCUCAGAACGAACGCUGGCGGCGUGGAUAAGACAUGCAAGUCGAACGAGAGAAUUGCUAGCUUGCUAAUAAUUCUCUAGUGGCGCACGGGUGAGUAACACGUGAGUAACCUGCCCCCGAGAGCGGGAUAGCCCUGGGAAACUGGGAUUAAUACCGCAUAGUAUCGAAAGAUUAAAGCAGCAAUGCGCUUGGGGAUGGGCUCGCGGCCUAUUAGUUAGUUGGUGAGGUAACGGCUCACCAAGGCGAUGACGGGUAGCCGGUCUGAGAGGAUGUCCGGCCACACUGGAACUGAGACACGGUCCAGACACCUACGGGUGGCAGCAGUCGAGAAUCAUUCACAAUGGGGGAAACCCUGAUGGUGCGACGCCGCGUGGGGGAAUGAAGGUCUUCGGAUUGUAAACCCCUGUCAUGUGGGAGCAAAUUAAAAAGAUAGUACCACAAGAGGAAGAGACGGCUAACUCUGUGCCAGCAGCCGCGGUAAUACAGAGGUCUCAAGCGUUGUUCGGAAUCACUGGGCGUAAAGCGUGCGUAGGCUGUUUCGUAAGUCGUGUGUGAAAGGCGCGGGCUCAACCCGCGGACGGCACAUGAUACUGCGAGACUAGAGUAAUGGAGGGGGAACCGGAAUUCUCGGUGUAGCAGUGAAAUGCGUAGAUAUCGAGAGGAACACUCGUGGCGAAGGCGGGUUCCUGGACAUUAACUGACGCUGAGGCACGAAGGCCAGGGGAGCGAAAGGGAUUAGAUACCCCUGUAGUCCUGGCAGUAAACGGUGCACGCUUGGUGUGCGGGGAAUCGACCCCCUGCGUGCCGGAGCUAACGCGUUAAGCGUGCCGCCUGGGGAGUACGGUCGCAAGAUUAAAACUCAAAGAAAUUGACGGGGACCCGCACAAGCGGUGGAGUAUGUGGCUUAAUUCGAUGCAACGCGAAGAACCUUACCUGGGCUUGACAUGUAAUGAACAACAUGUGAAAGCAUGCGACUCUUCGGAGGCGUUACACAGGUGCUGCAUGGCCGUCGUCAGCUCGUAUCGUGAGAUGUUUGGUUAAGUCCAGCAACGAGCGCAACCCCUGUUGCCAGUUACCAGCACGUGAAGGUGGGGACUCUGGCGAGACUGCCCAGAUCAACUGGGAGGAAGGUGGGGACGACGUCAGGUCAGUAUGGCCCUUAUGCCCAGGGCUGCACACGUACUACAAUGCCCAGUACAGAGGGGGCCGAAGCCGCGAGGCGGAGGAAAUCCUAAAAACUGGGCCCAGU
RNAcentral lists this ribosomal RNA (1262 nucleotides) under metagenome. RNAcentral's name for it is "bacterial SSU rRNA". It matches the Rfam family "Bacterial small subunit ribosomal RNA", at positions 8 to 1292 of the family's 1533-position model. The record is from RNAcentral.